Salvia splendens (bonfire salvia) is the source of this 593-nucleotide long non-coding RNA. RefSeq lists it as uncharacterized. NCBI's taxonomy places the organism in Eukaryota, Viridiplantae, Streptophyta, Magnoliopsida, Lamiales, Lamiaceae. The transcript is spliced from 2 exons. The record is from RefSeq and is a predicted model, not a curated record.
UUUGGCAGCCAAAAGGGUUUCUCUGAUCACUCUUGGUUGGCUGUAUGCUCUGCAGAAACACAGGCAUGUACCCGCACAUUAAUUGGGUUUUACAACCUCUUUUGUUGUCAUAUUACAGGGUGUCUCAGCCCCUUUGUUUGUUGCUGGGAACCUCUGCACUCGUGGUACAUUUCCUGCGGUACAACCCUUGUGGCUGCCACUGAAACCCUGCAGCUUGGAGUGCUAUAGGUGCAGCUUUCCUCUGGCACGUACUGGCUGGAUAACCAGCUGGGAGGGCAGGCCAUUUCUGGUGGUGGCAGCCCUCAAUCCUUCCCAUUUUGAGAAUAGGGCUGCUAGGUGCGGUUCCCACCUUGGUGCCCCAGUUCGUCGGGCCGCUUGAGCUAGGCCGAGAUCGGGCCUGAUGUAUAUCCUAUGACUCGAUUUGUAGAAACUUGAUUCGACUUAAAUUUCUAUGAUCGUUCUACAUGUAGACAAGUCUCUGUAAUAUUUAAUAUGUAUUCCAUUCAAGCAUUUGCAGUUUAUUAGCUUGAAAUUCUUUAUAUUGUAUUUCUUUUACUCAAGAAAUAACAAAUACUCUCUCAUUCUUUAUCUAA